CAGAUACCAAAGCUGGUUUACCGGGAAGCUCUCAGAUCGAGCAUGCUUCACUCAACUAUGCCCCAAGGUGUAAGAAAAGAAUUCUUUGAGAGGUACUUUAACAUAUAUUCUCCGGAGAAUAUUCACCGCUUCAUACUGCAAGAAGUACACAUGUCAGAUGUUGGCUAUAUACGCAGCGGAACAUUUGGUUUUACUCGGUUAAUUGAUAUGUCACCUAUGGAGGUUUCAUUUUCGGCAACUGGUUCUUUCUUGGAAUAAUUGUUAUUCUCAAUUGUGAGAAGCAACCGGCAAUUUUCAGAUGAAAUUUUGGACUUGCUGAUGGAGUCUGAGGAUGAUGAUCUCUAUUUUAGUCACCUUGGACGGGACAAAGUAAGAGCAGUGACACUUAUUGCUUCCAUCUAGGACAGGAACAGAUUUAUUAAGAACAAGACUUGCCACAGGUCCUGGUGAUGCACCAUUUGAAGCUUUGGUCAUGGAACAUCAGGAUAGGCUUUUAUCUAAUGUUAAUCUCUUACAUUCCAUAUAUUCCUUCAUUCCUAGAACGAGAGCACCCCCUAUAAAUGCUCAUUGCUCGGAUAGAAAUUUUGCUUACAAAAUGCUCGAGGAACUACACCAUCCACGGAUUAAGAGGUUGCUGGUUGGGUUUGCACGCACAUCGGAAUAUAAUGGUCCUAUGAAGCCAGGUGUCACACACCAUUUAAUACAAGAGAAGACUCUAAAUUACCUGUCUCACAACCUGCUCUUCAGCUUACAUACAAAAUAUCUGGGUCAUGUCCACCUGUGCAACCAUUUGACCCUGCAAAGAUGCUAACAGACUCAGGGAAGCUUCAAACACUUGACAUACUAUUAAAGUGCUUGCGGGCAGGGAAUCACCGUGUUCUUCUCUUUGCACAAAUGACAAAAAUGUUGGAUAUUAUAGAGGUAUUUGAAUCUUUCUGCUGCACCUUGACCGUUUAGAUUUGUCUUUUUGUAAUGCUAUGAUGCUAGUAGCAGUGGCAGUUUCUCUGCCUAUGCAACUGUAUGUUUGUAUUUGGUUGUAGCU
Molecule: long non-coding RNA, 1042 nt
Organism: Nicotiana attenuata
Lineage: Eukaryota; Viridiplantae; Streptophyta; Magnoliopsida; Solanales; Solanaceae
Exons: 3
Source: RefSeq, a predicted model, not a curated record